AGAGAGAGAGAGAGAGAGAAGGACAGGUGGUGGUUUUGUUUUGAGUCGGAGUCGAGAGGAAGAGGAGCUGGUUGUUGGAAUGAAAUUUAAAAAUGAAAUACGGAGGUUUAAAGUAACGGCACGUCGUUUGAUUCCGGCUUGAGGCUUGGCUGAUGCGAGUUUCGCGGAAGAGGAUUGUGUCUGCUGAGUGGAAAGUGGAUGGACCCAGUCAUUGGUAGUUCUAAAAGCGAAAAUGCGGUGACAUAACCGAUUGUUCGUGGCCACCCGGUAUCUCGGUAACGUGUCGACGGGUUUCGAGCAGAUAAUGGUUUUGGCGGCGCGGUAAACAGUAAUUAUUUGGUCAACUGUUUGUUGGAUAAACCACCAUAUGCACACAUCCCCUGUUGUACCUGACAAGAGGGACCGCUUUAACAAAUUUAAGGCUCUUUAAUUAUCAUUCGAUUUCAUUUUCUCUCCCUUAUAGUUCACAUGACAAAAAAUAAUUUUAUUAAUUUUAUUUUUU
This 502-nucleotide unclassified non-coding RNA is filed under the name Hevea brasiliensis (rubber tree). The record is from RNAcentral. Lineage: Eukaryota; Viridiplantae; Streptophyta; Magnoliopsida; Malpighiales; Euphorbiaceae.